UGUGGCAGGCAUCCCAGCUUGCUUAGAGAAGGAGAAGUUGAAGUCGGCCUCACAGAGGAUUGUUUGGUCCCAGCUGAAUAACCUGCUGGCAUCCACUGUGAGCAGAGUGGUAAGCAGAUUAUGGAUCUCUUCUUGAAAAAGACAGAGCUGCAGUCAUCUUCGGUCUCAGGUUCUAUAAAAACCCAGCACAGCCUUGGCAGGCCUCCUGGAAUGACUUCUUGUUUCCUGAGGACCCAUUGAUUUAACAAACUAACAAACGUAAAUAACAGAAGCUAUGAAAGAAACAUUUGCAGCAUCAGACCUUCUUCUCUAGAACUUUCUUCUGCCCCAUGUGGUGGUCACUGCCCAGCUCAAGAGAUAGUCCUGGAGAGGACACAGAGGCAACAAGGUCCAGAGACUUGCCUCAGGGUCACCUCAGGGGCCCUUCCAAUCAUGCUUCCCCCAGUCCCCGAAGCAUCUUCCAGCAGCCAACAUGUUGGUGAAUGGGGUCCUAAACCCUGCACUGCCCAGGAACUGUGCUGUGGAGUCUGGCCACGUUCCCUUAUUGGGGCAGGCAUGAGGCAGUGACUAAAGUGUCCUAAAGCUCCCAGUGAAGGCUCUGAGAUGGCUGGACCGCCCACUGCAUCCUUGGCCCUACAGAAAGAGGGCUCCAUGGAGCAUGCACAGAAGCAGCAAGGGGCAGUGUGACACUGGGAGAGGUACUAAGGAGGGGGCGGCCUUCUGAUCCACGCAAGGAUUCUUAAGGACCUCCUGGCUCAAAACAAUCACUUCCUCUCUUGCUGUGGUUCGUGGACAAUGGAGUCCCAAAGGGAGGCCUUUCCUUGCAACCUCAAAGGGAGGAAAGCCUGCUUUCACAGCUGGCAGGGCCUGCGGACAGCCAGCCAGCUACCUGCACCAACUACCGUCCACCUGUCUCCCGUCACAUCCCCCCCUCUACCCCCGAGUGGCUGGUCUGCGGCGCUUCGGACGUGCUCCUUGCCUUGCAUUCACUCUCCCUCCCGCGCAUUCAGUGGAUGUGUCCCACGUGGAGAAGGCGAAGUUGGGAAGGGGCAGCCCUCGCGAAGGGCCACUUGGUCUGGGCACUUAUUCACUGGGGUGGAAUGGGAUGGCAGCGGAGCAGGGGACAGCCUAGGCUAAAAGGCCGCCCGGGGGCAGCCCCUCCAGGUAACCCGUCCCGCGGCCCGCCAGCAUGGAGCACCAG
This 1201-nucleotide long non-coding RNA is filed under the name Homo sapiens (human). RNAcentral's name for it is "HSALNT0199801". The record is from RNAcentral. Lineage: Eukaryota; Metazoa; Chordata; Mammalia; Primates; Hominidae.